UCGGUUUAUCUUAAAAUAGUUGAUUUAUUUUAAUAGCAUAGAGUGAAAGUCGAAACAAAAAAAAUAUUCGUUGGUAUGAAAGAUGAAGAUAGAAGUGUUUUGAAAUGUUGUCUCUCUCGAUAAAAAUCGGUAACAAAUUUAAUCCCCUUCAAUUAGAAAUAUAGGUUUGUUGUCUACAAUAAGAUGUACAUGCACAUUUUACUUUGGUAGCGUGGAGUCUAAUUCAAAACCACAUCGGGUUGAAAAUAUACAUAUUUUCAAUAAUCUUUUAUUUGAGCAAGUAUGCACGAUAAGAAUUAGACCCUUCUAUAUUAAAAAAAAGGUACAUAUCCUUUGCCUAAUAUUUGCCUGACAAAAUGUCCAUCAGAUGAAUCAAUCAAAUAGGAGGAACUGGGGAGUAUUUCAAACCGAAACAAAGAAUUGAUCCUAACUACGUGAAGUGCAUUAGCUUUAAAGCCUCUGAAUUAUUUUGUUGCUACUCCACCAGGAAAGUGCAGGCCUUCAAGAAUCAAAAGACACCACUUGAGCUCUCUUCGGUCUCAUAAGCCCUGUUGUUUAUAUCCUUAACCCCAAAAGGUUGCCUCUUAGCAUCUCUGUUGUUUUCUUGAUCCUUAUUAGGUGUCAGAAUAUCCUGAAGAAAAUCCAGUUGAUAUCAUAUUAUCAUUAAAUAAAUCCAUAGUUAACAUGUGGAUCGUGGGGAAUGGUGAGAUGCCAUAUUGGGGUUUGCAACACGAAUAAAAGACCACUAAUUUAUAGAAGGAGAAAAAAAAUGCCUGAACACCCUUAAGAUAGGCCAUGACGACGCACUAAAUAUUUCAAAACGAGAAGUUAUUUUGUCAUCAAAAGAAAAAAAGAUAAAGCACAAACCUUUUUCAAAUAUGUUCAGCUCGGCCCUCAAGAACAGCUGCAACAACUGCACAAGCACCAGUCCCAAUAGCAACAGUUGCUCCUACAGUCCAGAUCAUACAGUUUAUUUUGUAUAUCCACUAUAUGAAAGAAAUGCCUGGAGAUAAAAGGAUAUCUCACUGAAAAUCAUCAUACAUCAGAGUUAUUUACAUUAUGGGUUAAUAAUGUUAUCGAGGAC
This 1084-nucleotide long non-coding RNA is filed under the name Triticum aestivum (bread wheat). Its description in RNAcentral is "long non-coding RNA (TAES_LNC014911)". Lineage: Eukaryota; Viridiplantae; Streptophyta; Magnoliopsida; Poales; Poaceae. The record is from RNAcentral.